This 68-nucleotide transfer RNA is filed under the name Pteropus vampyrus (large flying fox). Its description in RNAcentral is "tRNA-Val". It matches the Rfam family "tRNA". From Rfam's summary of the family: Transfer RNA (tRNA) molecules are approximately 80 nucleotides in length. Their secondary structure includes four short double-helical elements and three loops (D, anti-codon, and T loops). Further hydrogen bonds mediate the characteristic L-shaped molecular structure. tRNAs have two regions of fundamental functional importance: the anti-codon, which is responsible for specific mRNA codon recognition, and the 3' end, to which the tRNAs corresponding amino acid is attached (by aminoacyl-tRNA synthetases). tRNAs cope with the degeneracy of the genetic code in two manners: having more than one tRNA (with a specific anti-codon) for a particular amino acid; and 'wobble' base-pairing, i.e. permitting non-standard base-pairing at the 3rd anti-codon position. The record is from RNAcentral. Lineage: Eukaryota; Metazoa; Chordata; Mammalia; Chiroptera; Pteropodidae.
CAAAGUGUAGCUUAUGCAAAGCGCCUGGCCUACACCCAGAAGAUUCCAUACAAGAGUGGCCACUUUGA